This 86-nucleotide transfer RNA is filed under the name Planctomycetota bacterium. RNAcentral's name for it is "Planctomycetes bacterium tRNA-Leu". It matches the Rfam family "tRNA". From Rfam's summary of the family: Transfer RNA (tRNA) molecules are approximately 80 nucleotides in length. Their secondary structure includes four short double-helical elements and three loops (D, anti-codon, and T loops). Further hydrogen bonds mediate the characteristic L-shaped molecular structure. tRNAs have two regions of fundamental functional importance: the anti-codon, which is responsible for specific mRNA codon recognition, and the 3' end, to which the tRNAs corresponding amino acid is attached (by aminoacyl-tRNA synthetases). tRNAs cope with the degeneracy of the genetic code in two manners: having more than one tRNA (with a specific anti-codon) for a particular amino acid; and 'wobble' base-pairing, i.e. permitting non-standard base-pairing at the 3rd anti-codon position. The record is from RNAcentral. Lineage: Bacteria; Pseudomonadati; Planctomycetota.
GCCCAGGUGGCGGAACUGGCAGACGCGCCAGCUUGAGGUGCUGGUCCCCGCUUUAGGGGGUGGAGGUUCGAGUCCUCUCCUGGGCA